ACUAUUUUGACAGAAAAAAUGUAAUGAUUUUAGAAGUCAUAAAUAUAUAUGAUUUAAAUAUAUAUGUAGUA
Molecule: transfer RNA, 71 nt
Filed under: Byasa alcinous
Lineage: Eukaryota; Metazoa; Arthropoda; Insecta; Lepidoptera; Papilionidae
Description: Atrophaneura alcinous tRNA-Leu
Source: RNAcentral